GUGAACCAAUCAGAAAAGCUGUUACAUCACGGUUAUAUGUCCGCUUUUAAUGGAUUGUUUUGUCUUGCUUUAUUUGCUGAAUCUUUCAUUUACGACGAGCGUGUAUUAUUUUUUUUACAAUGAAUUUUCUUGGAAACAUUUUGUAAUAUACGCUUUACCGCUGGUGUUCUAUACCAUCGGGUGGACGAUGAUUAGAAAAUUCACGUUCACUGUACAUAAACAUGUAUAUAUGCGAAGAAGGCAUAUCAUUUGAGCAGAGCUUUGUCCGUAGAAUUACAUGUAAAAUAUUACUCUCCUAUUAAUUAUACGACUGCGAGGACAAGCGAUCUCAAAAUGUUAGAUACUUUGUGAAAACUGUCGCCAUGUUUACAAUGACCAAAUGUGGUUGCUAGACGUAUCUGUUUUUCCACAUUUACGUAUGUUAAAAAUUAAUAAUGUAUGUUAUGCAUACAUAAAUGCAUAGAACAUUAUGAAGCAAACAAUUGCACUGAAAUUUAAAUUAUUUCUAAUACUACGCAGUUCUUGCACAACUGUAGUUUUUGUAAAUGAUGUCAUGGACAUAUGUGUUCGUAUAAAAAUCCGCACUAGAGCAAUUAUAAUUUGAUCGAAGCACUGUUGAUUAGUUUCUAAACAACAGUGCAAUUACACGCGGAAAAACCGACUCUUAGAUAACGCUUACAAUUGAGUCGCAAUCUUUACCCUUAACGGGUCAGAUGACGGGUACACACAUAUUUUCCUCGUACGAUAUUAAUCGGGUCUUAAUCAAAUAUCCAAAUGAAAAAAAACAGAUCCACACCAUUUACUCUUCUCGACCAAGUUCUGUAUUCAUAUUGAAGCAGACUUAAGUUUGUUAAUUUAAAUAAUUUAAGUCAAUUUAGUCACAAUUAUGCGUAGAAUGUCAACCGAAAUGGUACGAUUACGAAUGUAAAUAUUUUCGCGUUAGUGUCCGCUAUAAUUAUUCCAAGGUCGUAGAUAGUCAAUUUUUACAUCAUUCCUUCUCGGAAAUUGCCCAAGUAGAAUUUAAAUAUACAUAAAAUCAUUGAAAUACAUUAAUCCCUAAAAUUCGUUAAAUCAUUAAAUAUACAGGAAACGAUAAAUGGCAAAAAUUAAACAUGUUGCGAGUAUCAUAUUAUCAUCGUUUCACGAGAUCAGAUUUACCACGACAAAAUCGUGCAGAACUGACAUUCUAAGCUGAAGACCGUGUCGAUGCUCGAUUAGACCGGUAUAGUUCUCGGCGAUUCUCCACGCGGCACCUUGCGCAACAGGAUACGAUCUUGUGCCACGAGUUCACUAGAAAUCCGUGAACAAUUGUUGCCAGCCUUUUUCCUAGGAAAAAAAGUGCGUCAACUUAUUGCAACUUUCCCCUUGAACUGCAAUAGGCGACCCGUUUACGACAUCUUUCUCCGAAGUGUUUCAGAUCGCUUCUAAGCAAACAUAUUUUUACUCGCGCCGUGUACACCGGUCGCCCUUCCGUUUCUUUUUUCCUCAUUUCAACGAUCGAUGCAUAGGACGCGGCAUUGUCCGAGUAACACCGUGGUUCGGAGGCGAGUCGGGAUAAAAAUAAUGAUGUGUUAUUACGUCAGAUAGGAUCCACGGACGCUUAAAAAGAAACUCGUUCGGCUACGCGGAAUGAUUCUGCUGCGCACAUCGGUCUACCCGUCGCCAGCCGUUGCCAACCAUUUCUCUGUAAGCAUAUUCUUAUCUUCAAGAAAGAAUUGCUCCGAAUCAAGAUAAACAAUCGUACCUAGAAGAGGGGAGUACAAUUGAAAAUCCUAUCUAAUCGCGCAGGAAAAUAGUCUCGAGGGAAAUGUAAAAUUCUCGAGUAAGAUUAACUUUUAUUGGAUGGUUGAGACCAACGCUGCUGGGAAGUGGCUCUCUCCACGUUGGCUACUUGCCCCCUCCACCGUUCUUUCUUCUGUUUACUCGGGGAAACCUAAUGGCGUAUACUUUGGUGGUCGGGCAUGGCGAAGUUGUAAAAUUAGACCCCGAAGACCGGCGCCUAUUUUUGCGAGGAAACCCAGGCACUUUAUGGGCCUUAACACGGUCAGACCUGUAUAUGAAAAAUUAUUUUUGGACUGAAUCUACUGAGGACUUGAAUUGAAACAUUCUUGCAGCCCUACUUGAACUUGGAGACUCCGCUUAAAUUUCUAAGAAUAAAGUUGGCUCCAAGAUGUAAAACUUAUUUCUGUGGUCGGCCAAAUAAUUUUACAAGUUCGUCGCUCCUCUUUCACCGGUUACACGCUUUCUAUGAUCUUCAUCGAUGCUCGUUCCGCGCCAAUGCGAUCGAGCAAGGUCGUGGAACUCGUUUCCCAGCGGGACACGUAACAAUGGAAUUCGUGGAAAGCAAGAGGACAUGCAAAUAUAAUUCCCUACGCAUCGGGAUGUAAACCGGAUUUAGGCGCGACAUAACAUACACAGGGUGUUCUGAUUUAACGGUAUAAUAUUGAAUACGUUUGUCUCAAUGCGAAGCGGGUCUUUUGUCUUUUGUCUACUGCGACGCGAAACGUUCAUUCUGGAGCUACUUCAGCUACUCGACACCCGCGAUUCUAUGGUUAACCUUUUGUAAUAGGAUUAUAUAGUUUUCUGUACAGCACAACGCGUUGCCAAGCCGGUGAACAGAAUUUUACGGGGCGUCGCAGAGAACUAUCAAGUGCUAGCUUCUGGUGAUACAUAAUGCAACAAUCGUUUAGAAUUCGCUGUGCAUGAUAGAAGAGGAAAGAACGCAAUAGUCAAGCGUCGGUCAAACGUUCGUAACACCACCGCACUAAAUAAUUGCUGGAAAACUAGGAAACUCCGCGCCGGCCAGCGAAACAAGCGUAGUUAGAGUUAGCGCGUGUCGAUACCGUGCCGCGACAUGCCAAACCCCGAAGGUCGUGGAACUUGUUGGACACAAUGCGGAAUACGAAUGAAAUGUUUAGUUGUCCCGUAGGUGGAACGUGCACGCGGUAUACGUAACAUCGUUUCCAACGACACCUGCGAAUUCAAGGGUAUCGUUUGUAUUCCGCGAUGUUCCACGACUUUCGCCGGAAGCACAGAUUUCUUUCGCAUGGGCAGGGAAUUAUUGUGAGAAUUAUCGUCGCGUGUAGCUCGGUCACGGAACGAGUUUCUGUUAAUUACCGAACAAACUAAUGGGGAAACGAUUCCGGUGGACAAUGAACUAUGAGCCGUUUCUUCGUCCAUUAUUACAUCGAAUUCAUUUGCUCUUUGGAUCAGUGAGACAGCGGUUUCCUGUUGACGCGCGCAACGCACGAUAGUCGCGGAACGUCGCACGAAACUUCGUAUUUGACUGUUAUCGUUCACGGUGCAGCUAACCGUUGUGUAACGCGCAGAUAUUGCACACAAUUUUGUAACGGAGCGACGAAAUCUUGUUAACGCGACACGCGCGUGGGUCAUUGUAUCAGUGUCUAUACCGAACGGGAAGUCGCUUAUGGCCAAUCUAAAUUCAACAUUGCUGUUUCGCCGCUUCGCGAAACUAAUAAUACAACGAAAACGUUGAAUCCGAACGUAAUUGUAUUGCGACCGAAUAUUCCUCUGGAGAUUCCCUCGCUGCAUGCACGCGGCGAGGAGCAUCGACGAGAUUACAACAAGAUGGCUGACGAGUGACGCUAGCGGGAAAGGGAGGCAAAACUUAGUGGAUCGUGGGAAGGAAUGGAAGAAGGUCGACAGUGAUCCUCAUCCUUUUUCCCGGGGUGUCCCAACGGCCGACGUUCAUCCGUCGUUUUCAAAGGAACUCCCCUCGCGGAAUGCUCGGUUAAUGUUCGUCCAAGGUGCGGAUACUGCACCUGGCCGACCCACUCGCUUACACCUGGAGGCGAGGUGUGAAAACCCCGAAGUGAAUCGAUACACGUCGCAGUUUUCGCGUCGGCCCGCCGAAAUCCUCACCGGCGAAAACGCUCACGGCGGUUUUCACUUUUACAUUCCGCGGAUUGUCCCGCGUUUCGCAGGAAAUCCGGCGAUCCCCGCGACGGUUCUAUGUCGCGAUUCGGAAUUCACGGUUUCGACGGCGAUCAAUAGCGGCACGCAGGCCAUUCGAAUGGUGAAUUGCAUCGGAAGCGCGGCUGCUAGAUCCGAUUUAAAUCCACCGCCGCGACUAAUUCUCCAAAUGACGAUUCCCCUUUUUUCCGUUCACACCGUUUCCCAUUUAUUUUUUCCCGCUGGCUCUCUCCGUCUCCCUGUUUCCCCGGGUUUUGCAAGUCAAACCAGCUCCCCGGGCCUCUAUCUAGACACGCAGAUCCUCCUAUUGCUUAUUCCUCGCCGGUAGCAGCCGCUGCAGCGCGCGUUGGUCGUCGACCUUCUUUGAGAACAGGCUUCUCCCGUUCUUUUUCUUCGGUCGCGUUUCGCUCGGGCCCGAACCAACAAGAGAUUAAAAGGUGUCCCGUUUGCGUUGCGAAACACCGAUAUCUCGGUGAUGCAAGGUUGCGCGAUUUCAUUUUUCGCGAUGCAACGGGCCUGCAGCCCCGCGCCUGCAUACCGAUGCCAACCUCUCGUCGAUCCGCCGACUGAUUGACGGCUUUCUUGUAGAUCGUUAACCCGAUAGAUCGUUGGCUCGUUCUUCGGUUGGACUAUGACUAGUAUCUUACAUUUUCUCGCGAUUAAAAUCUCCUUUCAACAUACUUUCUUCCGAAUAAGGUGACUUGCACGGCACUGCCUUUAAUAUUAAUUUAGUCCUCGGCUGUUCUUUAAGCCAGUCACGUUCUUAUUUCAUUAACACGGCGGUUCUUCGGACUUCAUCGAUCGCGCUCUUAUUUUUUCAAGAAGAUUCCUGCUUCGUUAUUAGAUCGUGAAAUUUUAUUAAAACGUUGACUUUUAGAGACCAUUUCGCUGAACUUGGGGAUCGAAUGGAACUCCCGUUUAUCCACUGAAGGUUUUAUCUAGGUCUGAACAACGUAAAAGUCAUAGUUUCAAUUGAAUAUUCCGUUGUACCGAGUUGUAAGUGAUUGCAUCUAUUGUGGCUGGUUCACUGCGCAACAGAUAUUAUUAGCUGUUCCAAGAAACGUUCUUAGCUCAUUCUCGUCCUAUGCGAUCAAUUUCUUAAUUCGUCUCUUCGGGUCCUUCUAGCUUUCUCUUUUAUAUAGUCUCCUCCUAGAAGACGUACACACUGUUCCCCGAAGCUGAAACGUUCCAAACGAUUCCCUUUGAAUGUCACGAGAGAAACACGCUCGACGCGAGACGGCUCGCCUGUGGAAAUUCUGGAAGCGAUCGCGCGAACGAUGCGUUAAAUUACGGUAUCUGCCGGCCUAUCACGCCAACGACUGUUCUCGAAUGAAUCCAUUAUCAAGCCAGUCCUCGGCGUUCCGCCCACGAGCAUUAUCACGACGAGACGCGGUCUCCAUUUCUUUUAAGACCCAUCCGAUCCCAUUGCGGCCGCAUUCGACUUUAACUCGCCGCCAUUUGGGUAUCAUUCCGUUGCCGGCUGCGCGCCGAAACGUGCAUCUAAAGAGUUUCUUCGUGUGCACUCGGGACACGCCAACCGAUCGAUUUUUCUAUUUUAAAAGCGGCCGAUCAUCUAGCCGCCGUGGAAAGAUUUUUGUACGGUUGAUGUCUGCGGAAAUACAUUAUCGAAUACCUUAAACUCUGUCUUGACCUAGUUGCAACUUUCAAUUUCUUCCUAUUUCAGUGAGAUUCCCUUACAAUUUGAGAAUUACUCCAUUCGUUCAUCAAAUUUCCACCAUCACUCGGUGUAUAUAUCAUUUAUGUAUAUUAUGGAAAAAAUGUAUUUACCUAAAUCGAAACGGAGGAACUUCAGCUGAGAUAUUUUUCGUUGAAAACGGCGGGAAGUUGAAUUUUAUCAGCGAUUCAGAUACCGUAUCAAUGUUCAUUUCAAUUAUUUUUGGUCGAUCCGAUAAUCAAGCCGUGGGCUAUGAUAAAAUCAAUUUUUAACGCGUUAAAAGUCGACGCCGAUGCAAUCGCUGCACAAGAAAGACAACGUUUUCAUCGAAUUAAAGCUACGAGCAGCGUUAUUGAAAGUAAUUACUCUUUUAGUAUCGGACGUGGUGAACUUCAAACUGUUUUAAAUUCGUUGAAUAUCUUAGUAUAAAUCUAACUUUCUAGCUUGUAAUGAAACAUUGUAUAAUCCGUCUGCUUCCACGUGGCCGCGGAGAAGUCGAUUUGCGAUACAAGUCCUGCAUUAAACCUCGGUCGUAGCGGAAUUAAGGUAUCCGUGGGUUAGCGGUCAACGCGUUCGUAUCGAUAAAGCGUAAUUUUAAGGAUUGCUCGAGGGAAUUCCAGCAAUUGAAACAGAAAAAGAGACCACCGCGAUAGCGCGCCACACAAUCCAUUCGAUUAUAGAACACUCGAACGACACCGCUUCCAGAUUAUGUAGAAAGUUUGCGCAGCUUCUCGGAUAGUAAUAGAUAAUCAGCCGUCCAACGCGAUUGUAUCGCGAGACAGUUACUUUUCGUUGUACAUCGAUAUCUGCAUAUUCGGCGGGCUAAUUUCACAGGAAUUUAUCACGUGUCGUCGAGAACAAUGCAGUCGUUAUACACUAAUGACUGCGUAAUUAAACGUUAAACCCGUUCCCUGUAAUUUCCCUGGUAACUUCUUUUUCCGUUGCCACAUGUAUUAGCGUAUUCAUUGUUCUUUAUCGAGCUAGUUAACGUUGUUUUUCAUUAAAAAAUAAAUUGAUGAUUAAGUCAAUCUCGCGGCGAUCUUCCCCAACUAUCUGAUGUGACGUCCGCGAUAAGCAACAAUUCGAAAAUAACCAAAACAAUGAACAUUGAUACGGUAUCUACAUUCUUGAUAACAUUGUACUUUCAACCUGCCAUGUUCUGCAAUUAUAUUUCAGAGAAAUAUUAUACAGUAGAAUUCCUCGAUUUGCAAACGAUUCGUGUAAAUACAAUCUACAUCUAUUGAUCAUCUAUUACAAGAAACGAUCUACGUUUAAUAAUACAAUUUUUUCUAUCAUUAGCUUCAUGAAGCAGUGAUACAGCGCUGAAUUUCAAUUAAGCAAACUUUAAAUAGUAACACAAAUACACUAUGUAUUCAUAUUCCUUGAAUAGAUUUCCAUAGAUUACAGAAACUGAAAUGGUAUCGACCUCUUUAUUCCGUUGGAGGCAGUGAUUUUAAAUGAAAAAUAUCUUUUCUUACUAAAAUCGCAACACAAUUUCCCUACACACAAAUCUGCAAUUUCUCUACUGCAACUUUCUUUCCAAACACGUUCUUCUGCGCGAAAGCGUCCUAACGCAAUCGUAGACGGUGCCCGACAGCUUGUCACACAGUUAGUAUCGUUAGGAAUUAUUCGCGGCGAAGUGAAAAUGUAAUUCUCGUCUUCAUUGAUUCCUUAUUUAUCCAGUUCACCGAUGCGCCAUAUACAUCUGCAAUUCAAAGUCUCCUCCGCAGACAAGAAACCAGGAUUCUCAGUGAACGUCGUCAGGCUUGAUCACAUUUUAAUGAUACUUAAUCACCCGCUCGAUCGCCGGAUACCGUUCGCUGCAAUCGAAACAAGAUAUUUCGUCAUGGACGAGAAGAAAAAAAAACAACAACGGAAUAGGAAACAAAGAGCGAUCUACAAAUGGACGCGAGAAUUGCGAAGCGGGUCUGGCGGACGCGCGGCACGCGCUGAUUCCCGAGGAAACGGGGCGGCGAGAGAGCGUGUCACAGAAAUAAUAAUUCCGACGUGGAACGGCUGCUUUCCGCGAUUCGCUAAUUUAUUAUCGCGCUACGGCGCCUCGGGAGGUGCUCGUUUACGACGAUAACACGGAUUUAUCGUUCGCCGCGCAUCGCGAAACACGUUGCCUCUCGUGCUCCGAAUUUCUAUUUCUCGGCGGUAUUAAACAGUCUAAAAACAUCUUCGAGUUGAACGUUAUUUAUUAACUCUACGGCGUUUUGCGGGUCUAUUUAACUCAAUCACGGUUUCAUUUUCUCAGCACUAUUUUCAUCGUUUCGUUUUCUUACUGUUUUUAAAUUUCAGGAUAGAGCAGGAAACUUGUAGCUAGACUACAACUGAUCCUCGUUUUACGCGAAUGAACAUCGUAUAAAUAGAGUCCGCCGGUACAAGAGAAAGCAAAAUAUUGGAAAGAAAAGCUGGUAUCGUUUCAGAAAUACAUAUUUAUCUCACAUAGCCAAGCAAAAGGAAUAAUAUUUCAGAGAACUCAAAUCAAGCAUAAAAAUUGCCGCAUAAUCUGAUUUACUGUGUAAAUUCAGGACGGAGUGUAUGCAUUUCCACUUUUUUUAGCAAUAUGUCGAAUGCACAGAGAAAUCGAGGACCACGUCAGGGUUCACUUCGUACGAUCGCAUCGAAGAUUGGCAACAAUGGAGAUUGUGCGUUAAUAGUAGCCAUUUAAUAAUCCGUUCCGUGAAUGUGGAUCAAGGUCCGCCGAGAAACCGUAUUGUCCGCGCCGUUAGUCGUUAGAAUUUUUCCGAAAACAUUGCAUCACUCGUUUCUCGUGUUUUCCCGCGGGCGGAUCAGUGACUAACGCACGCAGGAGUCAUUGAUAAAGCCGGCUAGGCGUUUCCUGAAUAAGAUUCAGUCGGAUCGUCGCGUCGCGACACGCGGCGAAACGAUUUCUUCUCCGGUCGUUUCGAGUCCGGCGUGUUUACGUAACUCGCUAACCAUCGUUCGAUCAAUCGGUAGAUAAUAUGUUACAAUGUGUUGUUAUCGAUGGCGAUCUGUAAUUAUUGCUACGUUGACGCAGCCAGAUAAACUCUGAUUCGAAACGAUGCGGAUCAAAACGAUUGUGUGCCGAGCUCUCGGCUACCACCUGUGAUUGCAUUAGGGUGCUUUCACACAGAGGGACAAAUCUCCCCGGAUCGUUUCAAAUGAUCAGAGGAAGAAUUAAUGAAGCAAUUUAAUGCGAACGCAGUUUUCAUCCCUCAAACGAUUCCCAAUCAUUCGGAAAAGGAGCACGGGGCGUAAGCUUCUCAGUUGAAACACGGCUGGAGUGCGGGCCGAAGAUAUCGGACCGGUUGAAUCGUACUUUAACAUGGUCAGUGAUCCUGGAGCGCAAAGAAAUCAACCGACGGUGAAAUUGUUGCCGUCGCGGGGAAUUUAUCGGCACGCGGCAUGCGGGAGGAAUCUAUCGGCUCGAUAUAUUAUCAUUGUCGCGUGGUGCGACGCUCGUAACUUAAGAUUAAAGACGAAAUUUCUCGUCUGCGAACCGAUUAUUACUCGUUCCAUCAAUUCCCCGCCUACAUCUUCACCUUUUCCGAACAGUAAAUGCUUCCUCCAAUGAUACUAGAUAGAAAUACUUGCACUGCGACGGUUUUAAAUAUUCAAUCGACACGGUUACGUUUGUAACGCUUCAAACGCAUCAACCCUUACCUGUCGAAUUUUCUUUGUAAACAGUGUUAUUCGUAAACUUCGAAUCAAGUAUUAAUCUAGUUUCCAUUUGCUUAUGAGCAUGAAAUUAUUAUUCAACGCUUAAUAACAAAAGCUUGUCGUUUGUAUAGAAACACCAAACUGUAGUCCUAGAUAUAAAGAAGUUAGU
Molecule: non-coding RNA, 9425 nt
Organism: Nomia melanderi (Alkali bee)
Lineage: Eukaryota; Metazoa; Arthropoda; Insecta; Hymenoptera; Halictidae
Source: RefSeq, a predicted model, not a curated record